RNAcentral lists this long non-coding RNA (213 nucleotides) under Panax ginseng (ginseng). Its description in RNAcentral is "long non-coding RNA (PGIN_LNC014557)". Lineage: Eukaryota; Viridiplantae; Streptophyta; Magnoliopsida; Apiales; Araliaceae. The record is from RNAcentral.
UUAAUGGUUGAGCCAUGAUAAUUGGCUCCUGAUCAGAUAGUUGAGUCAGAUCGUAGAGUCUGAUGGUUAUACUGCCUUGGAGGAGGACUCCUUGAUGAUUGAGCUAAGAAUGUGCCUCUGCCUUGAUCUCCUUUCCCUUUAUUCUCCCCCUUUAUGUCAACAUCAAGGGUUCGAAUGUCUUCUGAGAGGCGAGUCAUUCCUUGGAUAAGCUCG